Molecule: unclassified non-coding RNA, 373 nt
Filed under: soil metagenome
Description: partial contains 5.8S ribosomal RNA, internal transcribed spacer 2, and large subunit ribosomal RNA
Rfam family: 5.8S ribosomal RNA (bases 1-120)
Source: RNAcentral
GAUGAAGAACGUAGCGAAAUGCGAUAAGUAAUGUGAAUUGCAGAAUUCAGUGAAUCAUCGAAUCUUUGAACGCACAUUGCGACCGCCAGUAUUCUGGCGGGCAUGCCUGUUCGAGCGUCAUUACAACCCUCAAGCCCCCCGGCUUGGUGUUGGGGACCGGCCACCGGUGCCCUGCUGCUUCCGCGGCAGGCGCACCCGGCCGCCCCCGAAAUGAAUUGGCGGCCCCGUCGCGGCCACCCUCUGCGUAGUAGCACACAUCUCGCAGCUUGAGCGCGGCGCGGCCACUGCCGUAAAACGCACCAACUUUUUUUACAGUUGACCUCGAAUCAGGUAGGAAUACCCGCUGAACUUAAGCAUAUCAAUAAGCGGAGGA